AGGAGUAUAUUACUUAUUACAUCAAUCACAUGUGAUUAAUAUACAACAUUCAAAAGAUUUGGCUACUCAUUAGCCGUUUUACCAAACAGUUUCCUUCAAAUGAUUUUUAUAAACAUUUUAUAUGUUUUAAACUCCUUAUUACACUGUACCUCUUACUCUGUUUAUCAUAUUUCAAACUUAUUUACAACUGUGUUUCAAACAAAUGUUCCUUAUACUUAUAUUGUUUUAUCAAACUUAUGCCUUCAAAUUGUUUUAUAGAUUGACAUCAAGUCGAUCUUUCCUUAAACUAAUAUUUAUGUUUCAAAUGUUUUACCAAACUUAUUUAUGCUUUUAUAUUAUAAAUUGCAUGCCUCUAUAUGUAUAGUUAUAUAAGAAAUGUUUAAAAGACUUAGGAAGGCUAUCCACCCUAUUUCCUUUUCGCGCCUUGAGAUGUGGUCUGGUGGGAUAUUGGAUACUCGUCCGAAGGUCGUUUAAAUAUUAGUUAUAUAUCAUGUGUACAUAUAAAGUCAUAAAAGGUUCUUCUAGUUCAUCCUAUGCCCUUGGGUAGCAAGGGUAUACAUCCACGUCCAUACGUACCACUUAGAUUACUAGUAAGCUACCAUAUGGGUAGUUCAGGAAGAUACUAGAACUAUUACUAGAACACGAUAUCAUACAACGAGUCAGUUCAUUCAUGAGUCAAUACUUUCUAGAACGUUGCUGUGCAAUACAUAUACAUCUAUAUUAGGACGAGAACAUAUACAAUUAUACUAGAACGCUUACAUGACAAUACUUGCUAGAUAAAGAGAUCACACAUUACAGCUAGCACACGUAGAACAUUUCAGUACACCAUAAGUACAAUUACGUGAUCACACUUACAUGAGUACGCUUUCAUAUACAUAGGAUAGACGUCAUUAGGGGCUAUAGCUCAGAACCAGUUUAGGAUCUAACUAUACUGAUAAAUCACACUACGAUUGUGAUUGUUAUAUCGAGUAUACAUGAUCGCAGGUAAUGUGGUGCUCACGGCUUGCAUUCAUGCAGGGGUCGUGUGUGGGUCCUAAAAUCCCUCUGAUAGGGGAGCGAAACAGUCUGGGAUCUAGACAUCACAUUAUACCUUAUCCAUCAAAUAAGGCAAGUUGAGUAUCGGUGUAUUGAUAUAUAUACAUAUAUAUAUCCAAAUACUGUGGUACUUGGUAGUAUUACCCUAGAUUUAAGGUAAUAGGUACGGUUGUAGUUUGACACUACACCAUAGUACCAUCUCUUUCCCAUUACAUUCACUUCGCGAAUUUUUCAUAGGAAGCGCGGUAAUGUAGAUGCUAUCUGUUGAUAAAUAGUAGCCCUUUUAGAGCUACGAUUUAGUACUACGUUAAUUUUUCCAGUACAUAUUUCAGUGAUAACCUCACUUAAACAUAAAUAUACAAACGAUAUUUUGAGUAAUGAUAGUUAUACUUUGGAAAAAUACAUACUCUUACAAGAGACACACACACACAGAACAGUUAAGUCUUGGUAGAAGACUCCUUUUGUUACUAAUAGGAAUCAUAGGGAUUUCUAGGGAUUUUCAAACAUAUACAGUUGAGCUACAAAUAUUUUCAUACUUAUACUCGUUUUCUUUCAAAGCAAUGUCAAGUCUUAGAAAUUAUAAGUUUUCACAAAUUAAGACACAUUAAUACUUAUGAUCUCACCAGCUUUAUAGCUGAUACUCGCUUUCAAAAUUACUUGUAUCCUCAGGUCAUCAUAGACAGGUACCGAUGCAAGGAGAAAGGAAGAUGGAGCUUAUUCAAGACUUAUCUUUCAUUUUGAUUUAUGCUUUAGUGUUUAUCAAAAUUUGACAGAAUACAAUUGUAUAAUAAUUAUUUUAUUAAUGCAAUGGAUGAUGUUGUUGCUUGUUUACUACUUUACAUUGUUGUUGAUAUUAUACAUGACGUCCUCCGCCCCAGAACGUUUCCGCCGUUCUCGGUUUUGGGGUGUGACAGAUUGGUAUCAGAGCAUUGUUUAUAGUGAAUUGAGUAUAUCAACCCAUAAAAGAUAUACUAACUAUAAAUACAAUGGGAUUAAAAAUACUCUGAUUUAGAGUUUAUACUUUAAAUAAUAAAAUAUUUAAGUAAGUAUACGUGCCUGCAUUCAUACUAAAAUCAGUGUCACUAGGACAGUACAAAAGAAUUACGAUUGUUGGGCAACACAAGUGUGCUUAGAGACAUAUGGUCAAAACUGGGAAGAUAUAGCCUGAUCGCCUAUAUUAUCCGAGGGUUGACUAGCAUGUGCCUAAGUUUAAGUGUGUGGUUGCAACAAUGCUAAAAUCUUACCAACCCUACCACAAUGAGAACAAUAGAACAUAACAUAAAAAUUUAAAAUACUAUAGGAGUAUUUGGUGUUACUAUAAGUACUUUAUACUUGAGAAUUAAAACGGAAUCCUCAUUACUAAGUUGAUAGUUGCUAAGUGGAUACACUAAGGCUACAUGUAAUUAGGAUGUUAUAGACUUAGAAUCAGUGGUAAUUUUGCCUUACCCCUAUUCUGUGUGAAUUUGGAAAUAAGGUCACUUAUUCGAAGGUCUAUCCUGUUUAGAUUACACAUAGCUGGUAUGCACUUCACAAUUAGCGAUGUAACUAAUGAAGGUUUUCUAAAUAAUUAUCUAGAUAGUUCGUCUAAUAAUUAUCCUCUUACCCUAAAUUCUCGCAUAAAAAUCAUAGCUGGACUCCAUUCCCUUGACAACCAGUACCUUCCGAAUGAAGUCAUAGCUGGUUGGUUUGGAGAAGAACCAGAGAAUGAUCAUCCUAUCCCCUUGGAUGAUCACCGUAAUGAAGACUUUUUGUACGAUGCUAACCCCGAGCCAGAGGUUGAGAACCUACCCCGAGUAGCUCCCAUUUCAAAUUCCUAACCCUCUUCCGGCUUUUCAUAGCCUGACCCUGAGUGAGUGGAAUGCUUGGAAACAUGGAGCCAAGAACAAGAUCAGCCCAUGCCAUUUAUUGGCAACCGAAACUUUUACGACUUGAGCAAUGAGGGCUUAGCAGAUAUAGUCUUGCCAAUCUUGGUCCGCAGAGAGGCCAUAAAUGAGAUUCAAGGCAGGACAACCCUACAUCAGAUUUCAGAAGAAGUCGCCUAUGCUAGAACGCAUACCCUCCACACCCUUCUUCUAGAGGAUGCUCACGAGAGAUCAGAGAGAAACCACGAAACCCUGCUGCAAGAACUGGCUGAAUCACGAACCGAAGUCAUAGGACUCCGAGUAUGCCACAUGGUGUGCGAAAGACAUCUACUUGACAAUGGAACGUCAAUUGAUUGAACUAAGAGUUCACCAGAGGGAUGACCGUCGCCCGUAGUAGACGCUUUACUUUAUUUCCCUUAUAACAAGAGACCGUGUUUUUCUGUCUAUGCCCGAUGUGGUAUUUUCUAUGAAAUUAUCUUGAUUCCGUAAGUACUUUAGUUAGGUCUUUAUGCUGUCAGGAACUAUCUUCUGGGGAUAUGAUGUGAUACCUUUAAAAGGCCGUUUUCCAAAACCCUUACAUCGUGAAUAUCAAAGAUAUUGACAGCCGGCUAACUUCUGUGUCAUUCUUCAUUCAAGUACUUUUAUCUUACCUUCAUUCGAGUCUAUCUGAAACAUGCUUUAGUCAAGUCAUUGGACUAUGGUGAUUUAUUCAGGAGACACUUCCAAGUCUCCUUCAGUGGUUGGAUCUUGUUAUUCACCAACCCACGAUACCUCAGCUCGAACGACAAACGUCUUGUGACCAUUCUACGAUCAUACUUCCAUUCCGUACUAGGACUGCAUCAUAGGGAUGUAGGUCAAACUUUAGAGAUCAUACUCUUACUCUUUUCAUGAACAAUCUAAGUACAUCAGGGUCAACCAUAAUCGCUUACAAAUCUUUACUCUUUCAUGUUACAGAAUCAUGGCGUCGUCCGGAAACAACCAGCCAAGCAACGAGACCUCUACUUUUCCGAUGGACGCCGCCACCUUUCAAACGACAGUUACAGCUGCUGUAGUGGCGGCCGUAACCGCGGUCAUGGCGCACCGUAGCGCUAACAGCACAGUCAAUGCUGCUAAUGGGAAUAAAGUUUCCAAUCGCAAUAUCCAUCCAGGAAGUCAUCCAACAGUAACAUCCACAGGCUCGCAAAGCCAGAAAGCAGAGAACAAGAAAAGAAAAUGUCAAGCCAAAGUGGAACGCAAACGGUUUCAGAAAAUUGCCAGACAGCAGCCACAAACCUCUGCCAUCCCAGUACCGAGCAGACCAUAUAAGGGAACACUCCCGAAGUGCGACCGGUGCAAUUUCCACCACGAGGGAAUGUGCCGCGUCUUGCAGUGCGUGAACUGCAACAAGAAAGGACACAUCGCCCGUUUCUGUAAAGCUACCUUCACCACUAGGGCCAGCCUAAAUUGCUAUAACUGUGGUGAGUUUGGGCACUAUAAAAGAGAUUGCCCAAAGAAGGAAAACAAGGAAAGCACCCGUGUUCCCAUAACUCCUACCCUACACUUCACUUCCUCCACUGAUGUGAGUACUAGCCAGUCAUGCCACCAAUGCGGUGAGUUAGGGCACUUCAAGAAGGAUUGCCCGAUAACGCAGAACCCUGGCGCAGACGGGAAGAUUCCCAGGAUCACAGCUGCAGGAGAGCCUGCUCAGGAACCACGUUAAUGUAUUUAAGGCGUUUCGUUGUAACAGACUUAUAAACUAUCUAGAACUAGUGCAACUAGAGUCUUACCUUUUGCGAGAUCCUGUCUGUAUAGGAAUGCUCGUGCUGCGUAUACUUGUCUUUUGUAGUAUAUCUUAUUCGCAGCAAUAGUCUAGUGGUAAAUCUAAAGUACUGUAACUCUGUUCAUGGUUGCACAGUUGUGUUUUGUCUGUAAUCGUCUAUGUUUAAUUCUAAUGUCUUUAAAGUUUCUGUAUGAUUCCGACAUUAUCAUACAAUCAGAUUCAAUUUGAUCGACGCGAAAACAGCUUCAUGCGUACAUCUCUUUCUUCUAGAUCACUUUUUCAGCGAAGCCGUCUUAUCAGAACGCCGAAGUGCUCAUUCCAGGAUUACCUCUUAGAUAGUUUCUUUCCAAGGAAAUCCUCGAUGUACCACUCGUGCAGUACGUCAAGUGCAAUCUAGGAAAAUUCAUACGGAUGAUCUAUCACUGAGGAAGGUAUACAUAAGAGUGUUAUAUAAUCAAGGUUCUACAGGUUUAGAAUUAAUGAUUUCGCCUUAACUCUUUUCCUCCUUGGGAUGUGAGGGUAAGGAAGAAUCAGUUAUUCGACUACCUUUUCAAUCUUAAUUAUAUACGCCUCGUAUACACGAAAUGGUGAUCGUGAAGCCCUGUAUGAAUUCUCAAAUGGACUUCAGGACGGAGAAACUGCCUAAGUAUACGAGUAAUCACAUCGUCAUAGACUUAGAACCCAGUACAACUCCCGAAAACAGAUCACCCUAUAGUUUAAACACCCACAGAGAUACAAGAACAGCACGAGCAACUUGGCGAACCACACAGAAAUAGAAUUAGAAGACUAGGUUUCUCACCCUAGAGAACCCCGGUCAGAUUCUUCCAGAGGUCGAUGGAUCGCAUCGUAGGUGCCUCGGUUAUCGAGGAAUCCGUCAAGAUUUUCAUAGAAAUCGUUAUCUCUGCCUCACAUAGACAAAAUGGUUGAGCAAACGUAAGGAAAGAAUCUACUUCCAGGAAUGGAUCUGGAAUCCGAAUAUCACCAGUUCGAGUGUUAGGGGAGGAUGUCCGGAAGACUAUCUCCUGAACCCGAUACGGACACUUCGAGUUCGUAGUGAUACCUUUCGGAUAGGACCAAUACGCCCAUGGUUUUCAUGAGUUAAAUGAAGGGUUACGUCUUUCUUACUUGGAUCAAUUCGUCAUUUUCCCCAUGAGAUGACUUACUUAUCUACCCUCGUAGUAAGAAGAAAGCCCAUGGUAACAAUCCUACAGUGGAACUUUUAGCAAAGUUCUCUAGGCACGAGUUUUGAAAUUGAAGAGUCAAAUUUCUAGGACACACUGAUAGUAGUGUGAGAAAUUUUGAGUACUCUCUCAAUUAGUCAAAACCGUUGAGCAUUUAUCAACACCAGAGACUCCGACAGUUUUUCGCCAGAUUCUAGGUCUUACCGACCUACCGCAUUAGUUCAUUCAGAACUCCUCGCAAGCUACAGAAACUCGUACGACUUUGACCCAGCAAGGGGUGGCCUUUGACUGGGAAGUUACGUAAGAAAAGGAACCUUUGAGAUUCCAAGUGAGUGACCAAGUUCUUUAGGAUAACUCACUCUGGGAAUGGCUUAAUACGCUUCGUAAAGCGUGGAAAUCUAAAUCCAAGUUAGACAGGACCUCCGAGAUUCUUAUCAGAAUCGGUCCUGUGCCUCUCACAAACAAGACCUACUCCGCGAACUCAGUAACGUACUUUCUACUCUUCGCAUCUCGAUCGUGAAACCAUACCUUUCCGUUAGGACUCUUGCAAGUCCACUCUUCGAGAUCCUCAACUUCGUAUUAGAACCGUAGUGACCCUCGACCGAGAGGUCAAGCGGACGAAGAAACGCCAUCGCCAGUUAGUGAAGGUUCGUUGGAAUGCCAACCGAGAACCCGUUAUCACUUAGGUGCGUUAGAACCAAUCGAUUAGGAAGUUUCCUCCUCACGACUCGAUUAUUCGUGCAUACUUCCUUGCUUAAAUUCUAAUUUCGGGACGAAAUUCCCUUUAACGGGGGGAUUCUGUGACAACCCGAUAUUUCGAGACAAUGUAAUGUAAAACCAAUCAAAUUUAGGUCAAAAUAUAACUUUCCUAAAAUCUUAUUUGGGUUAAUUAAAGUAGUAGGAACCGUAUCAAGGUUUUCGUACAUAUAAAGAACCCUAAAAUCCGAGUUAUAAUGAAGAAGUUAUGACCAACCGAAGAUUCUCGGAAAAACCGGCAUCAGCGAUUAAUCGUAAAACGCGAAAUUUCGAUGCAAUAGUUUUUAGCCUUAAGUAUCUAAAUGGAAGUUAUAGACAACCUCAAUCUAUGAUCGUGCAUAAAAAGAACGUCCAAAUCUGACUUCGGAUGUGAAAGUUAUGAAUUUUAGAAGAAAUUCCUUAAUCACGUCAUUUUAAUAAAUAAAUAAUAAAAAUAAUUUCGGAAUUUGCCAACGGAAUCUAAACGAAAGUUGUAGAUCUUGGUCUCACCUUCGCGUGGAUAUAAAGAACGUCAAAAACGGAGUUCGUAUGAGGGAGAUAUGAAUUUUAGAAGUUUAAUUAAAAUAAAUAUGAAUUUAAUUAUAAAUUCCCGGUAUUAUCCGAAGGGGAGUCAUCGGAUAGGACCGAAGUACGCCCUGCGUACCUUCGUACGCCCCGCGUACUGAGAUCGAGGGUCUCGGAUCGUCCACGUCGCACUAUCCGAAGAAUCUAACCCGUCCGACCCGUCCGAAGCUCCGACCCGUCCGACCCGCUGUCCCGUCCGACCCGCCGUCCCAUCCGACCCGCGUACCCAGCAACCCGUCCCAUCCGAACCGAGGCAGUCGAGGCUUCGGUCAUGCAUGACGUACGCGUACGCGCUGCGUACGAGCGUACGCCCCGCGUUCGGAGGCGGUUCAGCCUUCCUAUAAAUAGGAUGCGAGGCUUUCCGAAAAAGUUGCUCAAUUCUCUCAUUUCUCUCUCGAUCUUGCCUCGUUUUCCGUGCCCGUUAUAACCCGAAGCUCUGGUCUUUUUGCUCAAGUCCCGAGGGUCGAUUUUACUCCCGAGAUUCCCGAGAAUCCCGAGGAAAAUCCGUUUCCCGAGACGAAACUCUGCCCGGUUUUCCAUCUCGCUAUCUUCAAGCUUUCAUGUGAGUUCAUACCCCUUAAAUAAUGUUUUAAACUACUUUUAAAUGCUUUAGGGGGGGGGAUACAAGUAGAAUCAUGCUACUUAUUAUGUCAAUCGCAUGUGAUUAGUAAGUAGGAGUAUAUUACUUAUUACAUCAAUCACAUGUGAUUAAUAUACAACAUUCAAAAGAUUUGGCUACUCAUUAGCCGUUUUACCAAACAGUUUCCUUCAAAUGAUUUUUAUAAACAUUUUAUAUGUUUUAAACUCCUUAUUACACUGUACCUCUUACUCUGUUUAUCAUAUUUCAAACUUAUUUACAACUGUGUUUCAAACAAAUGUUCCUUAUACUUAUAUUGUUUUAUCAAACUUAUGCCUUCAAAUUGUUUUAUAGAUUGACAUCAAGUCGAUCUUUCCUUAAACUAAUAUUUAUGUUUCAAAUGUUUUACCAAACUUAUUUAUGCUUUUGUAUUAUAAAUUGCAUGCCUCUAUAUGUAUAGUUAUAUAAGAAAUGUUUAAAAGACUUAGGAAGGCUAUUCACCCUAUUUCCUUUUUCUCGAUUUGAAUGUGGUCUGGUGGGAUAUUGGAUACUCAUCCGAAGGUCGUUUAAAUAUUAGUUAUAUAUCAUGUGUACACAUAAAGUCAUAAAAGGUCCUUCCAAUUCAUCCUAUGCCCUUGGGUAGCAAGGGUAUACAUCCAUGUCCAUACGUACCACUUAGAUCACUAGUAAGCUACCAUAUGGGUAGUUCAGGAAGAUACUAGAACUAUUACUAGAACACGAUAUCAUACAACGAGUCAGUUCAUUCAUGAGUCAAUACUUUCUAGAAUGUUGCUGUGAAAUACAUAUACAUCUAUAUUAGGACGAGAACAUAUACAAUUAUACUAGAACACUUACAUGACAAUACAUGCUAGCUAAAGAGAUCACACAUUACAGCUAGCACACGUAGAACACUUCAGUACACCAUAAGUACAAUUACGUGAUCACACUUACAUGAGUACGCUUUCAUAUACAUAGGAUAGACGUCAUUAGGGGCUAUAGCUCAGAACCAGUUUAGGAUCUAACUAUACUGAUAAAUCACACUACGAAUGUGAUGGUUAUAUCGAGUAUACAUGAUCGCAGGUAAUGUGGUGCUCACGGCUUGCAUUCAUGCAGGGGUCGUGUGUGGGUCCUAAAAUCCCUCUGAUAGGGGAGCGAAACAGUCUGGGAUCUAGACAUCACAUUAUACCUUAUCCAUCAAAUAAGGCAAGUUGAGUAUCGGUGUAUUGAUAUAUAUACCUAAAUAUAUAUCCAAAUACUGUGGUACUUGGUAGGUUUACCCUAGAUUUAAGGUAAUAGGUACGGUUGUAGUUCGACACUACACCAUAGUACCAUUCCUUUCCCAUUACAUUCACUUCGCGAAUUUUCAUAGGAAGCGCGGCAAUGUAGAUGCUAUCUGUUGAUAAAUAGUAGCCCUUUUAGAGCUACGAUUUAGUACUACGUUAAUUUUUCCAGUACAUAUUUCAGUGAUAACCUCACUUAAACAUAAAUAUACAAAAGAUAUUUUGAGUAAUGAUAGUUAUACUUUGGAAAAAUACAUACUCUUACAAGAGACACAUACACACAGAACAGUUAAGUCUUGGUAGAAGACUCCUUUUGUUACUAAUAGGAAUCAUAGGGAUUUCUAGGGAUUUUCAAACAUAUACAGUUGAGCUACAAAUAUUUUCAUACUUAUACUCGUUUUCUUUCAAAGCAAUGUCAAGUCUUAGAAAUUAUAAGUUUUCACACAUUAAGACACAUUAAUACUUAUGAUCUCACCAGCUUUAAAGCUGAUACUCGCUUUCAAAAUUACUUGUAUCCUCAGGUCAUCAUAGACAGGUACCGAUGCAAGGAAAAACGGAAGAUGGAGCUUAUUCAAGACUUAUCUUUCAUUUUGAUUUAUGCUCUAGUGUUUAUCAAAAUUUGUCAGAAUACAAUUGUAUAAUAAUUAUUUUAUUAAUGCAAUGGAUGAUGUUGUUGCUUGUUUACUACUUUACAUUGUUGUUGAUAUUAUACAUGACGUCCUCCGCCCCAGAACGUUUCCGCCGUUCUCGGUUUUGGGGUGUGACAUGUUGGGUUUUUGAUGAGAUUACUUCAACUGCUAUAAUCAAACUCC
RNAcentral lists this long non-coding RNA (9826 nucleotides) under Lactuca sativa (garden lettuce). Its description in RNAcentral is "long non-coding RNA (LSAT_LNC002310)". Lineage: Eukaryota; Viridiplantae; Streptophyta; Magnoliopsida; Asterales; Asteraceae. The record is from RNAcentral.